RNAcentral lists this ribosomal RNA (333 nucleotides) under uncultured eukaryote. Its description in RNAcentral is "partial 18S ribosomal RNA". It matches the Rfam family "Eukaryotic small subunit ribosomal RNA", at positions 1470 to 1796 of the family's 1831-position model. The record is from RNAcentral.
CCCUUAGAUGUUCGGGGCCGCACGCGCGCUACACUGAAGGACUCAGCGUGUCUCUCCCCCUAUCCCGAAAGGGAUGGGCAACCCGUUGAACCUCCUUCGUGCUAGGGAUUGGGGUUUGCAAUUAUCCCCCAUGAACGAGGAAUUCCCAGUAAGCGCGAGUCAUCAGCUCGCGUUGAUUACGUCCCUGCCCUUUGUACACACCGCCCGUCGCUACUACCGAUUGAAUGGUUUAGUGAGAUUUUUGGACUGGAACUCUCUUGUUCAGCAAUGAACGAGAGGGACUCUGGGAAGCUAUUCUAACUGUAUCAUUUAGAGGAAGUAAAAGUCGUAACA